AAGCGAAAGUGACGGUACCUGCAAAAGAAGCACCGGCUAACUAUGUGCCAGCAGCCGCGGUAAUACAUAGGGUGCAAGCGUUGUCCGGAAUUAUUGGGCGUAAAGAGUUCGUAGGUGGUUCGUUACGUCGGAUGUGAAAAUCUGGGGCUCAACCCCAGACCUGCAUUCGAUACGGGCGAGCUAGAGUUUGGUAGGGGAGACUGGAAUUCCUGGUGUAGCGGUGGAAUGCGCAGAUAUCAGGAGGAACACCAAUGGCGAAGGCAGGUCUCUGGGCCAAUACUGACACUGAGGAACGAAAGCGUGGGGAGCGAACAGGAUUAGAUACCCUGGUAGUCCACGCCGUAAACGGUGGGCGCUAGUUGUGGGG
This 367-nucleotide ribosomal RNA is filed under the name actinobacterium zj04. RNAcentral describes it as "bacterial SSU rRNA". It matches the Rfam family "Bacterial small subunit ribosomal RNA", at positions 461 to 827 of the family's 1533-position model. The record is from RNAcentral. Lineage: Bacteria; Bacillati; Actinomycetota; Actinomycetes.